GAUGAAGAACGCAGCGAAAUGCGAUAAGUAAUGCGAAUUGCAGAAUUUCGGUGAGUCAUCGAAUCUUUGAACGCACAUUGCGCCCACUGGUAUUCCGGUGGGCAUGCCUGUUCGAGCGUCAUUAUCCUCCCUCAAACCUCGGGUUUGGUGUUGGACCCAAGUUGUGUGAACAACUGGUCUCAAAGACAAUGACGGCGUCCGUGGGACCCUCGGUGCAACGAGCUUUUAAACGAGCACGCGUCGAGUUUCAAGGACCUUCCGGGCCGGUCUACUUUUACAUCUUCUGAAAGUUGACCUCGGAUCAGGUAGGAAUACCCGCUGAACUUAAGCAUAUCAAUAAGCGGAGGA
This 348-nucleotide unclassified non-coding RNA is filed under the name soil metagenome. RNAcentral describes it as "partial contains 5.8S ribosomal RNA, internal transcribed spacer 2, and large subunit ribosomal RNA". The stretch from base 1 to 121 matches the Rfam family "5.8S ribosomal RNA", at positions 35 to 154 of the family's 154-position model. The record is from RNAcentral.